AGCUCAGUGGUAGAGCGUCACGUUGCCAACGUGAAAGUCGUGGGUUCAAAUCCCAUC
Molecule: transfer RNA, 57 nt
Filed under: Candidatus Omnitrophota bacterium
Lineage: Bacteria; Pseudomonadati; Candidatus Omnitrophota
Description: Candidatus Omnitrophica bacterium (groundwater metagenome) tRNA-Gly
Rfam family: tRNA
About the family: Transfer RNA (tRNA) molecules are approximately 80 nucleotides in length.
Source: RNAcentral